This 695-nucleotide unclassified non-coding RNA is filed under the name Hevea brasiliensis (rubber tree). The record is from RNAcentral. Lineage: Eukaryota; Viridiplantae; Streptophyta; Magnoliopsida; Malpighiales; Euphorbiaceae.
AAAAAAAAAAAAAAAAAAGGGAAAAACCUCUAUUCCAGAAAUAUGUAGACUGUAGUUGUGAUUAUCGUUUUUGUAUCACAAUAGCCACUUUCACAUGCUUAGUUUUCUCGACUCGAGCUUGAGCUUGUACUUGAGUUUGCACUGGAGAUGGGGUUUGCAAAUGAAUUCACAUGAAGUUGGUGAGUGCAGCAAACGGGUUCAGGAGGACAAGGCACAGGUGCUGGAUGUGCUAUAAAGGUAGGAACAUUAUCUCCAGGCAUCAACACUGAAACUCCAUUGGCAUAUACAGUCAUCUGAACAAAUUAAGCAAAAGAUCAAGGUUUUAAACAGUUGAACUUGUUGAAGUGAAACUAUCAAUGUUAAAAAAGCAUAGAAAGUCAUGAGAUCAAUAUGUUAACCAGAAACAUGACAAUUUCAAUCGGAUAAUGACGUGGAUUGCAAGCUGAUCUCAUCAAGACUUGCACAUUAUACAAUAAAUGUAAUUUGAGGCACUGCAAUUCAAUAAAUAUAUGAAUCCAGUCAUUCUACAGCUCAUAUCACUAUUAUAAUCCAAUAAAUGAAUGGAUGCUGAUCCUAAAACAGUGUCUUUAAAAAUGUCAAGAACAAAACUCUUCCUGGUUUUUCAGAAAAAAUGCUGUGAACAAGAUCCUGAUUCUGGGUGUGUGUAGUAGAUAAAUAUUUAAUCUCCAUCCAAU